This 344-nucleotide ribosomal RNA is filed under the name uncultured bacterium. Its description in RNAcentral is "bacterial SSU rRNA". It matches the Rfam family "Bacterial small subunit ribosomal RNA", at positions 32 to 356 of the family's 1533-position model. The record is from RNAcentral.
AAUCAACGCUGGCGGCGUGCCUCAGACAUGCAAGUCGAACGCGAAAGUCCCCUUCGGGGGACAAGUAGAGUGGCGCACGGGUGAGUAACACGUAGGUAAUCUACCUUCGGAUGGGGAAUAACAACCGGAAACGGUUGCUAAUACCGCAUAAUGCAGCGGCACCUAAUGGUGACAGUUGUUAAAGCGGGGGAUCGAAAGACCUCGCGUCUGAAGAGGAGCCUGCGGCGGAUUAGCUAGNGGUAAGGUAAUGGCUUACCAAGGCGACGAUCCGUAGCCGGCCUGAGAGGGCGGUCGGCCACACUGACACUGAAUAACGGGUCAGACUCCUACGGGAGGCAGCAGUC